Molecule: long non-coding RNA, 1597 nt
Organism: Triticum dicoccoides
Lineage: Eukaryota; Viridiplantae; Streptophyta; Magnoliopsida; Poales; Poaceae
Exons: 4
Source: RefSeq, a predicted model, not a curated record
UCUCCUACGCACCCGCAGCCGCCGCGCCAAACCCAAAUCUCUGGAUCUCGAUCCGCCGCCACCGCCGCCCCCAACCCAAACCCCACCGCCACCGUCGACAACCUCCCCUUCCAACCUCCAACUAACCACUGGAUCGUAGCUUCUGCUUUUUGCUGGCGAUGAUGGUGGUGGGUCUGACCCCGAGGCAGCCGGCCAAGGCCUAUGGCAGCGAGGCCGGCGCCUGCUACGAGUGGAGCCCUGCGGAGCUGCCCAUGCUCAGCGUCGCCUUCGGCGCCGCUAAGAUCUCCCUCAUGGCAGACGCGACUGGGCAUCACUCUGGACUGUGCCCGCGUGUUGGAGUUCCUCCACGAGCACACCUCCCCCGCCGUCAUCCACCACGACUUCAACUGCAGCAUCUUCCUCAUCGUCCACAUCGACUUCUGCAGAAGAUCCAUCCCAGCUGCCGACCUCUUCCCGUGGUCCAAGCCGGCUCCCGAAGCUGGCGAACGCGGCGAUACUGUCAAUGAUGACUGGCUCAUGGGACAACGGCGACACUGUCCAGCGCCAACACCGUCACCAUCGUCGGUCGUGUGUUCCGGUCGGCUAGGAGGUAGCCGGCACCCUGGAGGCCCCGAAGCCACUUCGUGGAGUACGGGUUCACGCUAGACGGAGAUGGGAGCAUCAUCGAUGAGGUACUGGUGGUGCCUAUGCUGUCUAUGAGAUCUUACACCCAAGAGGAUGUGGUGGAGCUUCAGUGUAGAGCUACUCAUUUGAUUCAGUUGAAAAGAUGACUAAUUUUUUUUCAUUAAUAGAAACUUCUCAUCUCUUUUCUUCUAUUUUCCUAUCUUCUCUUCUCAUUGCUGCUGUUAAGUUAGGACUUGCUGCUGAUGAUUGCUAUUGUUAGAAAUCAUGAUUGCUUAUUUUAGUGUAGGACUUGCUGCUAUUGCUGUCAUAUUCAUAUUGUAUUUUCCAAAGUUCGAUAGCAUGUCGUCCUUAGGAUAAGUUGUUGAUCAAAAAUGGACUAAAUUAAGGCACUCCCAGGACUUGAUGGUGUUGUUAUUGACCUGCUGAUGUUGUCAAACUGUUGUUGUCAUUAACCUAUUGUUACCGAGCUUUACCUUUGUUUAAGCUUUCUUGUUCUUGCAAUUACUAGUUGUGAUAAUUGUAUGGUGAUAAGAAUGCCUCUACAGGACAAUAUAUUUUGCUGGUUCCACCGUGCCAUCACAUGAAACUUGGUGCUGCUGCUUCCUGGCUGGCUGUAGCUUUGCAUGAAGCAACAAGAGAUGGCUUCACUUUGCAUGCCUAUUUUUUGCCCCCUCCGACUGAGAUGCCAAAGCAUAGAGGGAGCUUGAUAAAGCUUGGACGUUGGUCAGGGCUCCAAUAGUGCUGAUGCUAUUGGGUUGGUUGUGGCCUCAUGCAUGGUAGUAGGCUUGGCUGGCCCCUAAUAUAGAGUGCUAUAUUGUUGAGAGUUUUACCUGUAGAGUGCUAUAUUGUGAUUGGUGAAAUAAUGUAUGGUGUAUAUUGUGAUUGUGUGGAAUAUUGUAAUAAACUGAGUUUGGCUGUUAUUUAAAUUGGUGUGUUGAAAACAAGCUGUGAAAAAUUAAAACUUGAUGAUUGG